This 497-nucleotide ribosomal RNA is filed under the name uncultured bacterium. RNAcentral's name for it is "partial 16S ribosomal RNA". It matches the Rfam family "Bacterial small subunit ribosomal RNA", at positions 28 to 507 of the family's 1533-position model. The record is from RNAcentral.
GAUGAACGCUGGCGGCGUGCCUAAUACAUGCAAGUCGAGCGAACAGACGAGGAGCUUGCUCCUCUGACGUUAGCGGCGGACGGGUGAGUAACACGUGGAUAACCUACCUAUAAGACUGGGAUAACUUCGGGAAACCGGAGCUAAUACCGGAUAAUAUAUUGAACCGCAUGGUUCAAUAGUGAAAGACGGUUUAGCUGUCACUUAUAGAUGGAUCCGCGCCGCAUUAGCUAGUUGGUAAGGUAACGGCUUACCAAGGCAACGAUGCGUAGCCGACCUGAGAGGGUGAUCGACCACACUGGAACUGAGACACGGUCCAGACUCCUACGGGAGGCAGCAGUAGGGAAUCUUCCGCAAUGGGCGAAAGCCUGACGGAGCAACGCCGCGUGAGUGAUGAAGGUCUUCGGAUCGUAAAACUCUGUUAUUAGGGAAGAACAAAUGUGUAAGUAACUAUGCACGUCUUGACGGUACCUAAUCAGAAAGCCACGGCUAACUACGUG